ACUCCUACGGGAGGCAGCAGUGGGGAAUAUUGGACAAUGGGCGCAAGCCUGAUCCAGCCAUGCCGCGUGAGUGAUGAAGGCCCUAGGGUUGUAAAGCUCUUUUGUGCGGGAAGAUAAUGACGGUACCGCAAGAAUAAGCCCCGGCUAACUUCGUGCCAGCAGCCGCGGUAAUACGAAGGGGGCUAGCGUUGCUCGGAAUCACUGGGCGUAAAGGGUGCGUAGGCGGGUCUUUAAGUCAGGGGUGAAAUCCUGGAGCUCAACUCCAGAACUGCCUUUGAUACUGAAGAUCUUGAGUUCGGGAGAGGUGAGUGGAACUGCGAGUGUAGAGGUGAAAUUCGUAGAUAUUCGCAAGAACACCAGUGGCGAAGGCGGCUCACUGGCCCGAUACUGACGCUGAGGCACGAAAGCGUGGGGAGCAAACAGGAUUAGAAACCCGUGUAGUCCCAUG
This 448-nucleotide ribosomal RNA is filed under the name uncultured organism. RNAcentral's name for it is "partial 16S ribosomal RNA". It matches the Rfam family "Bacterial small subunit ribosomal RNA", at positions 335 to 799 of the family's 1533-position model. The record is from RNAcentral.